RNAcentral lists this non-coding RNA (148 nucleotides) under Gorilla gorilla gorilla (western lowland gorilla). Lineage: Eukaryota; Metazoa; Chordata; Mammalia; Primates; Hominidae. The record is from Rfam by way of RNAcentral.
GCCGGGCAUGGUGGCGCACGCCUGUAAUUCCAGCUACUUGGGAGGCUGAGGCAGGAGAAUCGCUUGAACCUGGGAGGCAGAGGUUGCAGUGAGCUGAGAUCUCGCCACUGCACUCCAGCCUGGGUGACAGAGUGGGACUCUGUCUCAA